RNAcentral lists this ribosomal RNA (448 nucleotides) under uncultured bacterium. Its description in RNAcentral is "bacterial SSU rRNA". It matches the Rfam family "Bacterial small subunit ribosomal RNA", at positions 10 to 507 of the family's 1533-position model. The record is from RNAcentral.
AGUUUGAUCUGGCUCAGAACGAACGCUGGCGGCAGGCCUAACACAUGCAAGUCGAGCGGGGAGCAAUCCCUAGCGGCGGACGGGUUAGUAACGCGUGGGAACAUACCCUUUGGUACGGAAUAGCCUCGGGAAACUGAGAGUAAUACCGUAUGCGCCCUUUCGGGGGAAAGAUUUAUCGCCAAAGGAUUGGCCCGCGUUGGAUUAGGUAGUUGGUGGGGUAAUGGCCUACCAAGCCGACGAUCCAUAGCUGGUUUGAGAGGAUGAUCAGCAACACUGGGACUGAGACACGGCCCAGACUCCUACGGGAGGCAGCAGUGGGAAUCUUAGACAAUGGCGAAAGCCUGAUCUAGCCAUGCCGCGUGGACGAUGAAGGCCUUAGGGUUGUAAAGUCCUUUCAGAUGGGAAGAUAAUGACGGUACCAUCAGAAGAAGCCCCGGCUAACUCCGUG